This is a non-coding RNA of Schistosoma margrebowiei, 46 nucleotides long. Lineage: Eukaryota; Metazoa; Platyhelminthes; Trematoda; Strigeidida; Schistosomatidae. The record is from Rfam.
ACAAUGCUGAAGAGUCCCAAAAUAGAACGAAACGUUCGUCCAGUGU